Molecule: ribosomal RNA, 317 nt
Filed under: uncultured bacterium
Lineage: Bacteria
Description: bacterial SSU rRNA
Rfam family: Bacterial small subunit ribosomal RNA
Source: RNAcentral
AAUGAACGUUGGCGGCGUGGAUUAGGCAUGCAAGUCGCGCGACAAGGAACCUUCGGGUUCUGGAGGAGCGGCAAACGGGGUAGUAAGGCAUCGGAACGUACCCUCUUGUUGGGAAUAGCCGCGGGAAACUGCGAGUAAUGCCCAAUAAUCCCUACGGGGCAAAGGUCCGCCGCAGGAGGAGCGGCCGAUGUGAUACCAGCUAGUUGGUGAGGUAAUGGCUCACCAAGGCUUAGACGUCUAGGGGGUGUGAGAGCAUGGCCCCCACCACUGGACGUGAGAUACUGCCCACGACACCUACGGGUGGGCGUGCAGUCGAG